Molecule: long non-coding RNA, 746 nt
Organism: Phyllostomus discolor (pale spear-nosed bat)
Lineage: Eukaryota; Metazoa; Chordata; Mammalia; Chiroptera; Phyllostomidae
Exons: 2
Source: RefSeq, a predicted model, not a curated record
UGCACAUAUAGUAAUCACAUGCCACAUGCUGACAUACCAGCUACACAUUGUUUUAUCAAAUGCUGUUGACAUUAAUGGUUAUGAAGUUGGUUCAAAAAAGUCAGUGUAUGGAACACAUUUUUAAAAAGUGAUUUAUUGUUUAAGAAUAUGCUCCUAAUUAAGCCAAGUGACUUGGUUGAUUAACCCUUGUCUGGCUCAAAUCAUAAGUACUUGAACAAAUAAUGCAUUCUUGGGGUACUUUUAAUUAAAAGUAUUGAGUUAAUACCUUAAAAUUAUAAGCAUCUUUAAGGCAUUGAUUUGAGUUCUGUUUAGAACAGUCCUGUUCAAUAGAAAUAUAAUGCUAUCCACAUUUGUAAUAGUAAACCGUGUUGCAGAAUGGUAUAACUGCAAAAAAAAAAAAGCCCAUAACAAUAGUAUCUUCUUAAAACCAUUUCAUUUUUUUUACUGUCUUGCUUCAAUCUCUGUUUCUCAGUUUAAAUACCAAUUCCAGGAGAACAAGGAUUUUGUUGAGCUCUUUCAUUGCUGCAUCUCCACAUUUUGAAAACGGUGCCCAGUACGAGAAGACUCUAUAAACAGUAGUUGGAGGGGACUUCCCGGUGCUUCACAUGGAAGAAAGCUUUUGAAAACCGGCCCUUAGUUAUAACAGAUUUGUAUUUCAUGGAAUCUCAUUCAGUGGGUACUGACUGAUGAAGCAAGCAAGGCCUCAUAUUCUUUAGCAAACUUGAAAACACAGCUGUUAAGAUUUU